This 392-nucleotide long non-coding RNA is filed under the name Medicago truncatula (barrel medic). RNAcentral describes it as "long non-coding RNA (MTRU_LNC001336)". The record is from RNAcentral. Lineage: Eukaryota; Viridiplantae; Streptophyta; Magnoliopsida; Fabales; Fabaceae.
AAUUUGAAUGGAUUAAUUUAGCUUCUUCAAUAAUACGCAUGAUAAAAUUUCUCAUUAAGUCGAAGAAAAGAUUGGAACAAUCACAUAAGUACUCUUGAAUAGUAAGUAAUUGAUUUAAGUACCAAGAUCAAAUAGCAGAGUUGGUGAAUCCGUCUUUGAGUGAGAUGUGUGAGACGCUUAAUAAAAUAGAAUGUGUAUUUUUCUUUUAAUGCAUGCAUCUUUGAGGUCGUUGAGAGAUUCUCGACAAUAUUCACUAACCAUCUUAUGAUCAACGUUAGACGUUGAUCAUGCGAUAAUUGAAUGUAGGCAGGAUGACCCAAGGGUGGGAGCAACUUCAAAGUGUGUGCCUUUGCAGUAAAGCCCGUUUGCAUUAAGUUCCUUUUUUGCGUACC